UUUGAGCUCCCUGGAGCAAACUGGGAGUGCCUGGAGGGGGGAAAGGAGAGGAGCUGAGUCAAGCAGUUGGUGGUUAUCAAAGUUGUAUGUGACUAUUAAAGUCUGGAGUAGUGAUCACAAGUCAUCAGACCAUGCCAGCUCAUGGCACUACACGUCCGAGCCCAGCAAUUGCCCAGAAAGUUCCUGUGGCUGUCAGAGUGACGUGCCAGGACUCUCCUUUCUGCAUUUGGAGUUGUAUCCAGUCCCUACUCCCUUGGCAGCACAUGAAAUACCACCUCAGGGGACUGUCUGCCUUCAUCCACUCAUCCUCCUCCUGGGCCUGGAAGGAUGGGGAGCUUUCCUGUGUGACAGAAGGGCAGUUGUCACCUCCCAGAUCCACAGGCUCCUGACACAACGCACUGGGAUUGCUGUCAAGAUGUGCCUACCUGGGCCAAAGCUGCGCUGGAUUUACAGUAACAAAAUUUUUGCAUUUUUGUGCCGCCACCUGAGCUGUAAAACAAGCCCUCUUCUGCUGGUCAUGCUUCACAUCUCCAUCCAUUGCUGCAAACCAUCUUGUCCCAGCCUCCAGCCUCUCCUUUCCUGGGGAAUACAUCAGGACGGCGGCCCAAAGCAAGCAGGAAAGCAGGAGCAGCAGGUUGGAGCUCGGCUCCAUCCCCUCUGUGCCAUAACUCAGGCUGUUAAACGCCUGGCCAGAGCUUACCAUCUGCUUCCAGUCUUCUAGGAAUAACCACUGAGUAAUUCAAUCAAAAAGGAGAAGAUCCUUGUUUCACUGAAUCGUAAGCCACUCCUCAAGUAAUUAUAAUUUUAUACCCCUAUCAGGAGCAACAGGGGCUGUUCAUUUCAUGGGCUUUAGCAGCCAGAGCUGUGCUUCUGCCAAGGUUAUGGCUGGGAGGAGAACCCAAUUUCACAUUUUCUCAGCCAUCCAAGACUCAGCCAUGUUUUUAACUUUUUGGUUAGGCAAGUGAAUAAAGCCCUGCCGGACCAAGGCCUUUGUUCAGGAGUGCUGUUACUGUAGAACAUAGAAAAUGUGAGAAGAGCUGACCAAACCAUCAUGAAGAUGAUUCCCACUGGUGUGAACAUUCCAGGUCUGUCCUUCCAGAGUUUCUGCAGCACAGCAAUAUCUGCCUAACCAGGGAGCAAAAUCCUGCUUAUCCCUGCCAGCAGCUGGAGGACACGUGGGGCUGCGUCCCUCACAUGCUGCCUUAGAGAAGGCAGAUGAGAUUAGUCCAGGGGAAAAGCCUACCUGCUUGCUCCAUCCAAAGUGCCUGGGGUGCAACUCAAAAAACUCAGGAGUCUUAAAAAAAGAUCCAAAAAGGAGCCUUUUCUCCUUUCUGUUAUGCUCUUUGGGUAAUUUCUCCACUUAAACACUUCUAUUGUGCAGUUUGUGCCCUCCGUCUUACCCCCCUGUCCUUUCUGGGGUUAAUGCUCCACCUGCUCUUUCACUGCCCCAGAUGUUCAGCCUUUCAAACAGAUUUAUUCCCUUGACUUUGAAAAGGGCUCCACCAUAUUUCCAUCUGUGUUUACACUUGGUGCAGGGUAAAUUUCUCCUCUGAGCAGAUCUGUUCCUUACCACAGCAAAGGAAUCUGGCUCAGCACAGGCUCAGACAGGAAGGCAGAGCAAAACAUUUCCGAAGCAGAGCUCGCCUGGGAGCUGUGCUACGUGCCCACAGGAGGACAGAGACCUCUGCCAGACUCCCUGCAUUGUCAGGCUGUGCAAAAAGGAAGUGGAUCUGGCCCAGAGCCACUGCUCUUGUGGCUGUUCUCAGGGCUGGCUCCCCAGCUCACCCAGCACCACCUCCCAGUUACCCAGGACACUGAAACCAAAUCAGAGCAAGCAAAACGGGACCCAGUGUCCUACCAAAGGGUCUGUCCCACAGUCAGCCAGGACUGUAGGUGUUGGAAAGACCCAUUUGUCAGAUCUUCAUUGCUCCUUUCUCAGAGAAAUCCUCUCUCUUUGCACCCCUGCUCCUAAAGCCAGCCUGGCUUGUCCACAGACAACAGAGUUUUUAACUACCUGGGCAAUUGUGACACAAAAGACGGUGAGCAGCUGCCACCGAGAUUUAUCACUGUGUUCACCAAGGCUGGGCCAACCAGGCCCUGCAAUGACUUCCAAGGUGGAUCUACAGAUAGCAUGAGCUUCAUCUAAUCUCAGCAAAACAGGUUUUGAGGCAUUGGGGGCUCACUGCUUCACCCUAAAUUUGAUAUCAACCUUUAGGUUUUGGUGCAGCGUGUUGGUGUUGGCGGACAGGUAAUAGCUUCUCUAUACAAUGCCCUGCUCUGUGUCGUGACAGGUCCUUGUCCCCACUUUCAGAUGCCUUUUAAAUCACAGCCAGCAUCCAACCAGCCCAUCAAACAGCCCAUCUCCCCCCAAGGCCAGAGAUGUCUCCACGCUGCUAAAAUUGGUGUUAGCAACAGGCCCAAGACUUCAGCAUUGCCAGAGAUGGCUGGGCACUAGGGCUGAGCAAAGCCCCCUGAAGUGCAUCCCUGAGCAGGCUGAACUGCAAACUGCUCCUGACGGUCCUGAGCUCCCUGCCAGCCUCAGAGAGGACAGGGAGGAUUUUUUUCUCAGCGUUACACCCUGAGCUCAGUGCAGAUGGAUGAGUCAAUAAAGAUGAUGCGGUGUCUACACAAUUGCUUCAGGAUGCAUGAAAUCCAGCUAUGAGCUCCCUGCCCACAGCAAGGGAGGACAUUUAGGUGGCCCUGCCAGGAGGGUUGCAGGGAUCUGUCUCCAUCUUCCCAGCAACAGCCAACAAACAUGAGCUGAGCAAGGAGGGGGAAUGGGAGAAGUCAAACUGUGAAGAGAAGCCUCAGCUGAACAUGUAAUUACACAGCAAGGAGAUAAGAGGACGUGAUCCUGCUCAGCACUGUGGGCAUGCAGAAAGCAGGAUGGGCAGCCACUAAUGACAGCUGUUAAAUGAUAAAUGCUCUCAAGCUUUGCAGGAUCCGGUUUAUUACGCAACCUGAACUUGCAAGGGAAGGGGGACCCUCUCUUGCAGUGGUUCUCUGCUGCAGAAACCAACAAGCUCAAUUAAACUUCAUGAAAGAUGAGCCAUUAUCAAAGCCAUCCCUAACCAAAAAAUUCAAGAAGAAGCCUGCUUGGAAAGAUAUAGCUUGAGGAGCCUUCUGGUAACACCCAUGAGUUCCACCCUGGUGCCUUGCAAAUGUUAGAACCCAGGUAAAUGUCCUGCAUUGUAGAAGGAGCAAACUGCCUGUAAACUGAAGGGAUAAUAACAGGGAGAGGGAAUCAAGUGAAAUAUGGAUUUUCCCAUCUGAAACACGUGGCUCUGGCACAGUGCUGGGCUCCUUGGGGCUUGUAUUUCCUCAGGGGCAGCAGUGUCGGAGUCCCAGUGACACUUGUUAUUUGUAGUUUCCAUUUAUUACAAAGCACUGUUAUUAUUUACAGAAUAUACUUUUUUAUGGACUGUUACUGCAUCCAAGUGCAAUAACUGGUCUAAGCUCAAAUCCCUGGGAGAACUGCUGAAAGAGAAGCAAUUCAGACACAUAUUAAUAUGACAAGGAUUUCCCCAGGUUUAAGGGAAUAAAAAAUACAUUUUGUACAACUGAAAUAGUUCUUUCUUGCAGUAUAAAGCUGCUCUUUUCUGAUGAUAGCAAUGAAAGAAUAUUGCUUCUGUCACUGAUGCCACUGGAAAUGUAUUGCCCCUCUCCAAGAAACCCAUGAAAGGACAUGGCUGGUUUAUCCUCCAAAUGAGGUUACUGAGAAAUGCUCUGCUCCUGGCAUUAGCCCAGGCACGCUGCUGCUGCUGCUGGGACCUGGCCUGACGGGAGGGCAAAGGCACCAAGUCAACAGCUUCGUGCCAAAUGGCAAAACCCACCUGGAGAGGAUCACAGCACACUUUGAGAACUGAGCAUAAGAAAGAAAUCUGUCCAAAUGUCAGAUGGAAAUUAUUCUCUAUCUGUCACUGGGGUGGAGCAGGGCUCAGCUGCUCUAUGGCACAGCCAGGGUCUGGCCCCUUCUCCUUCAGCAGCUCUGCACCUUGUAUGAAACGAGCUGGAGCCCUGGGGAAGGCUGAUCUGCACUUAACCUGUGGCAGGGAGCCUGGCUGUGAGGAGAGCUGCCAGCCCCUCGCCUUUCACUGCUGUGUUUAAUGGCCUGGCUCUCCGAUGAAGAUCUUGGGUUUUGGAAAUAAAAUCAUAAAAUUGUUCUCAAACCAAGAUGAUCUGUCACUUGAAUGUAUGCACUGGAGUGAGCACAGAGAAAUUACUGUUUCAGCAGAAGUAAAAAUUUCCUGAAAGGCUGAAGUUGAUGUUUGUGGUUCCACUUUCAUGCCUGUCGAUCUGCGGAUCUGACAAGUUCAUUUUCCCCACCUGCAACAUCCUCCAA
Hirundo rustica (Barn swallow) is the source of this 4342-nucleotide long non-coding RNA. RefSeq lists it as uncharacterized. The transcript is spliced from 3 exons. Lineage: Eukaryota; Metazoa; Chordata; Aves; Passeriformes; Hirundinidae. The record is from RefSeq and is a predicted model, not a curated record.